This 484-nucleotide long non-coding RNA is filed under the name Elaeis guineensis (African oil palm). RNAcentral describes it as "long non-coding RNA (EGUI_LNC041679)". The record is from RNAcentral. Lineage: Eukaryota; Viridiplantae; Streptophyta; Magnoliopsida; Arecales; Arecaceae.
GUGCCUAAUGGAUCUCCUAAAGGGGGUCAAAUAACUAAAAGAAUAGAGAUUCCUAAUGCAAGUAGGACUUAUAUUAAGAAGCUAUUUGACUUUGAAUAUGAUUCAUACCUUUUGCCUAUUUAAAAGAGCUUUUCUAAAGCUCUUUACUUCUAAUUUUGAGUAGCCCACACCUCCUAUAAGACCUCCUCAUGCCCCUUUUCUCUUCUCCCUCUCUUCUCUCUUCUAGCUCCAACGCCCAAGGAGCUUGGGUGUCUUCCACACCCAAAAAGAGUUUGGGCAUCCCCUUUGCUUGUUGAUUUUCAAAUUUUGAUUGCUUCAUAAUCAAGAAAAGAAGAGCAAGAGAAGAAGAGAAGAAAAAGAUCAAGGAUAGGAUCAAAGAGUUGAUCGUGAUCCAGAUUUCAUUCAAAUUCACAGGGUGAUUGUUCUUAGAGAAGAAAGAUCAACAUCAAAGAAGAUUGUUCCAAACUAAUCCUUAGUAGAUACC